Molecule: ribosomal RNA, 253 nt
Filed under: uncultured bacterium
Lineage: Bacteria
Description: partial 16S ribosomal RNA
Rfam family: Bacterial small subunit ribosomal RNA
Source: RNAcentral
GACGAACCGUGCGAGCGUUGUUCGGAAUCACUGGGCUUAAAGGGCGCGUAGGCGGGUUCGCAAGUCUGUGGUGAAAGCCCCCAGCUUAACUGGGGAAGUGCCGUGGAUACUGCGAAUCUUGAGGAGGGUAGGGGCGUCUGGAACGGUCGGUGGAGCGGUGAAAUGCGUUGAUAUCGACCGGAACUCCGGUGGCGAAGGCGAGGCGCUGGACCCUUUCUGACGCUGAGGCGCGAAAGCCAGGGGAGCAAACGGG